This 108-nucleotide ribosomal RNA is filed under the name Fukomys damarensis (Damara mole-rat). The record is from RNAcentral. Lineage: Eukaryota; Metazoa; Chordata; Mammalia; Rodentia; Bathyergidae.
CUUUAUGGCCAUACCACCCUGAACGUGCCUGAUCUAUCUAAUCUCAGAAGCUAAGCAGGGACCAUCCCGGUUAGUACUUGGAUGGGGAAGUCUGACAGGCUUUUAAAA